Long non-coding RNA from Lolium perenne, 874 nucleotides. RefSeq lists it as uncharacterized. Lineage: Eukaryota; Viridiplantae; Streptophyta; Magnoliopsida; Poales; Poaceae. The record is from RefSeq and is a predicted model, not a curated record.
GAUCCGGCUCUGAUGGAGAUAGUCGAUUCGGGCAGCAGUAGCAUCUUAUCGGGUGGGGAAAAAAACUGGAUCGAAGAAGAGUGGGCAGAAAAGCGGUGCGGUAGCUGAAGGAAGAGGGCGGAGGUCAUAGGGACGGUGGCGGACAGCACGGUCCCUCGUCGCUUGGCUUGCCUCCAGUUUUUUUCACGAUUCGGCCGUGGAUGCAGGGGACUGAGCCACGGCAUCACCGAUUGGCUUGCCUCCAGUUUGCAAGCGCGGAGGUGAAUUGCUACCUGAACAGGGGUGGUUCGUGCAGCCGGGACCAAUGGUGAGCCUGAGCGUGGAAGAAGCUCCGUGCGAUGGGAGCUGAUGAAACCUGCCGGCCUGGCGCAGGUGACCAACGGAGCAACCAUGGGUUCAGGCAUGAAUAGCUGACGGAAAACCGAAUACCUAAGUUUAACCGAGAGCUGGACAUGGGCAGCCGCCGGUAGGCAUCAGUAGCUCAAACCGAGCCCGGCCUGGCAGGCGAUUGCUCGGAUGAGGUGCUGUCACGGAACCAGAUGAGUUGUGGAUAACCAAAAACAUGCAGUAGUAAAAGCCAAUUCAGAAGUGUUGCAGGUCUGGAACCCCGCAUUGGCCAUCUCCAUAUUUUUUGCUAGUAUAUGCCAAAAACCAUGGCGCGGAAGCAGGACGACCUGGCCGGCCAACAGCAACAACGUCCACCCAUCAAAGGCCUGCAUGAAGAAAGACAUUGAGAUGGAAGACGCAUUCCACGGGAGGACAGGCAUCACGGCGGCAAUCGGUAGUAUGUGGCCGUGGCUGUCUUAGUUGCAGGACUCACCAGGGACACACAGAGCGGGGGCUCCUCUGUUGCCCUUCCACAUCUGAGGCACGG